ACGAACGCUGGCGGCGUGCCUAACACAUGCAAGUCGAGCGGAGUCAGUAAGAGGAAGUUUCGGACGGAAUCUGUUGAUUAGCGGCGGACGGGUGAGUAACGCGUGAGCGACCAACCUUGCACAGGGGGAUAACGGACCGAAAGGUUCACUAAUACCGCAUGAGACCACGGUGUUGCAUGACACAGGGGUCAAAGGAGCAAUCCGGUGCAAGACGGGCUCGCGUCCGAUUAGGUAGUUGAGGGUAACGGCCCACCAAGCCUUAUGAUCGGUAGCCGACCUGAGAGGGUGAUCGGCCACAUUGGAACUGAGAUACGGUCCAAACUCCUACGGGAGGCAGCAGUGGGGAAUAUUGGGCAAAUGGGGGAAACCCUGACCCAGCAACGCCGCGUGAAGGAAGAAGGUUUUCGGAUUGUAAACUUCUGUCCUUGGUGAAGAGGAGAAGACGGUAGCCAAGGAGGAAGCCCCGGCUAACUACGUGCCAGCCGCUGC
Molecule: ribosomal RNA, 489 nt
Filed under: uncultured bacterium
Lineage: Bacteria
Description: bacterial SSU rRNA
Rfam family: Bacterial small subunit ribosomal RNA
Source: RNAcentral